This 253-nucleotide ribosomal RNA is filed under the name uncultured bacterium. Its description in RNAcentral is "partial 16S ribosomal RNA". It matches the Rfam family "Bacterial small subunit ribosomal RNA", at positions 524 to 776 of the family's 1533-position model. The record is from RNAcentral.
UACGUAGGGUGCAAGCGUUGUCCGGAAUUACUGGGCGUAAAGGGCUCGUAGGUGGCCAACUAAGUCGGACGUGAAAUCCCUCAGCUUAACUGGGGAACUGCGUCCGAUACUGGAUGGCUUGAGUUUGGGAGAGGGAUGCGGAAUUCCAGGUGUAGCGGUGAAAUGCGUAGAUAUCUGGAGGAACACCGGUGGCGAAGGCGGCAUCCUGGACCAACACUGACACUGAGGAGCGAAAGCCAGGGGAGCAAACGGG